CAGUCGCCACGGUAAUACGUAGGGUGCAAGCGUUAAUCGGAAUUACUGGGCGUAAAGCGUGCGCAGGCGGUUCGUUAAGACAGAUGUGAAAUCCCCGGGCUUAACCUGGGAACUGCAUUUGUGACUGGCGGGCUAGAGUAUGGCAGAGGGGGGUAGAAUUCCACGUGUAGCAGUGAAAUGCGUAGAGAUGUGGAGGAAUACCGAUGGCGAAGGCAGCCCCCUGGGCCAAUACUGACGCUCAUGCACGAAAGCGUGGGGAGCAAACAGGAUUAGAUACCCGCGUAGUCCCUGUCUCUUAUAC
RNAcentral lists this ribosomal RNA (301 nucleotides) under uncultured bacterium. Its description in RNAcentral is "partial 16S ribosomal RNA". It matches the Rfam family "Bacterial small subunit ribosomal RNA", at positions 509 to 807 of the family's 1533-position model. The record is from RNAcentral.